Molecule: non-coding RNA, 189 nt
Filed under: Staphylococcus saprophyticus
Lineage: Bacteria; Bacillati; Bacillota; Bacilli; Caryophanales; Staphylococcaceae
Description: T-box sequence
Rfam family: T-box leader
About the family: Uncharged tRNA acts as the effector for transcription antitermination of genes in the T-box leader family. T-boxes are found upstream of many aminoacyl-tRNA synthetase genes and some amino acid biosynthetic genes usually in Gram-positive bacteria. The anticodon of a specific tRNA base pairs to a specifier sequence within the T-box motif, and the NCCA acceptor tail of the tRNA base pairs to a conserved bulge in the T-box antiterminator hairpin.
Source: RNAcentral
AUUGUUCGUAGGAUAAGUAAUAUUGAAUCUUGAUUUCAGAGAGCUUGUGGUUAGUGUGAACAAGUAAUCAUAUUUAAUAUGAAUCUACCUACUAUAUGAGAACAAUCGGUUAUAGCCGUUAUUUAGUGAGAGUGCAGUCUAAUUUUGGACUGUUAAAUAGGGUGGCAACGCGUAGACCACGUCCCUUGU